GAUAAGCCCAAACAGGUUAACAUAGGACUGAUGACUCAGAAACAGCUUAAACAUAAGCUUAAAGAGGUAAAGUCUGAUGACAAAAACAGGGAGCCUAGGAAAAAUAGAAAUGGCAAGAUUGGAAUAGACAAGAGUAAUAACUACAUGCCUAUUCCAAAUGCACCUAGGAAGACAUGCCAUAACUGUGGAAAUACUAAUCAUCUUGCUAAU
RNAcentral lists this long non-coding RNA (210 nucleotides) under Daucus carota (carrot). Its description in RNAcentral is "long non-coding RNA (DCAR_LNC005591)". Lineage: Eukaryota; Viridiplantae; Streptophyta; Magnoliopsida; Apiales; Apiaceae. The record is from RNAcentral.